Long non-coding RNA from Mustela erminea (ermine), 510 nucleotides. RefSeq lists it as uncharacterized. The transcript is spliced from 3 exons. The record is from RefSeq and is a predicted model, not a curated record. Lineage: Eukaryota; Metazoa; Chordata; Mammalia; Carnivora; Mustelidae.
UGAGCUGCUGUCAGGGGAAACUAGCAGCUUCUGACCUGCAAAAUGAGCAGUUACCAUCUUUACUCUGCAGUCUGCCUCCCACACGGAAUAUUAUAAACAUCAGAUGAGAUACUGUGUAAACAACAUGCUUCGAGGAGGACAGUGACAAAUAAGAUCUGUCCUGAGGACCAUAACGAUGAUGGAUAGGGGUUUCGGUAAUCUUGUGGUAUGUGGGAAGACUCCAGAGCUGGAAAAAUUUAUAUUGGAGAAGACUUAACAAGAUAUAAGAGUUUCAAGUAUCUAAUGGGCUGCCUUGGCAGAAGAGGAAUUCGUCAUUGGGGAAGUUCUUUGCAUCAAGUCUUAUGAAGUAUUUCACUUCGAAACCACAGGAAACAGGAUUGGAAAACAGGAGCAAAUGUUUCAGAUUCACAGACUAGGAAACUGGAAAAUGUCAAGGCAAAACAGAGACAACGAGUUACAACACAAUUAAAGGAGCGAUGCGGACCAUGGUAUGUUUAGGGAUUAUGAUCC